CGCCGCGUGAGCGAAGAAGGCCUUCGGGUCGUAAAGCUCUGUUGUUAGGGAAGAACAAGUAUCGGAGUAACUGCCGGUACCUUGACGGUACCUAACCAGAAAGCCACGGCUAACUACGUGCCAGCAGCCGCGGUAAUACGUAGGUGGCAAGCGUUGUCCGGAAUUAUUGGGCGUAAAGCGCGCGCAGGCGGUCCUUUAAGUCUGAUGUGAAAGCCCACGGCUCAACCGUGGAGGGUCAUUGGAAACUGGGGGACUUGAGUGCAGAAGAGGAGAGUGGAAUUCCACGUGUAGCGGUGAAAUGCGUAGAGAUGUGGAGGAACACCAGUGGCGAAGGCGACUCUCUGGUCUGUAACUGACGCUGAGGCGCGAAAGCGUGGGGAGCAAACAGGAUUAGAUACCCUGGUAGUCCACGCCGUAAACGAUGAGUGCUAAGUGUUAGAGGGUUUCCGCCCUUUAGUGCUGCAGCUAACGCAUUAAGCACUCCGCCUGGGGAGUACGGCCGCAAGGCUG
RNAcentral lists this ribosomal RNA (510 nucleotides) under uncultured Bacillota bacterium. RNAcentral describes it as "bacterial SSU rRNA". It matches the Rfam family "Bacterial small subunit ribosomal RNA", at positions 395 to 896 of the family's 1533-position model. Lineage: Bacteria; Bacillati; Bacillota. The record is from RNAcentral.